AACGAACGCUGGCGGCAUGCCUAACACAUGCAAGUCGAACGAGACCUUCGGGUCUAGUGGCGCACGGGUGCGUAACGCGUGGGAACCUGCCCUUAGGUUCGGAAUACCUCCCCGAAAGGGGUGCUAAUACCGGAUAAUGUCUUCGGACCAAAGAUUUAUCGCCUUUGGAUGGGCCCGCGUUGGAUUCGCUAGUUGGUAGGGUAAAAGCCUACCAAGGCGAGGAUCCAUAGCUGGUCUGAGAGGAUGAUCAGCCACACUGGGACUGAGACACGGCCCAGACUCCUACGGGAGGCAGCAGUGGGGAAUAUUGGACAAGGGGCGAAAGCCUGAUCCAGCAAUGCCGCGUGAGUGAUGAAGGCCUUAGGGUUGUAAAGCUCUUUUACCCGGGAUGAUAAUGACAGUACCGGGAGAAUAAGCUCCGGCUAACUCCGUG
This 433-nucleotide ribosomal RNA is filed under the name uncultured bacterium. Its description in RNAcentral is "partial 16S ribosomal RNA". It matches the Rfam family "Bacterial small subunit ribosomal RNA", at positions 29 to 507 of the family's 1533-position model. The record is from RNAcentral.